UACGUAGGGGGCAAGCGUUGUCCGGAAUAAUUGGGCGUAAAGAGCGUGUAGGCGGCCAGAAAAGUCCGCUGUGAAAACUCGAGGCUCAACUUCGAGCUGUCGGUGGAAACUUUGUGGCUAGAGUCCGGAAGAGGAGAAUGGAAUUCCUGGUGUAGCGGUGAAAUGCGCAGAUAUCAGGAAGAACACCCGUGGCGAAGGCGGUUCUCUGGGACGGUACUGACGCUGAGACGCGAAAGCGUGGGGAGCGAACAGG
RNAcentral lists this ribosomal RNA (253 nucleotides) under uncultured bacterium. RNAcentral describes it as "partial 16S ribosomal RNA". It matches the Rfam family "Bacterial small subunit ribosomal RNA", at positions 524 to 776 of the family's 1533-position model. The record is from RNAcentral.